This is a long non-coding RNA of Dama dama (fallow deer), 371 nucleotides long. RefSeq lists it as uncharacterized. The record is from RefSeq and is a predicted model, not a curated record. The transcript is spliced from 4 exons. Lineage: Eukaryota; Metazoa; Chordata; Mammalia; Artiodactyla; Cervidae.
CACUCUCCUAAGGAGCUCCUGAGAGUGGCUCAGCGGUCCAGGGAGAGAGUGGACUUCUCCAAGAUCAGACUCCUUGAGAAGGUCCUUCCUGCUCUCACAGACAGGAUCGUGGGCUGAACCAGCACCUAAGACCACAGCUCCCUUCCAAAAUCUUGGCUAUCUGGACGUCUUCACGUGGGUGUUCCACAAACAACCCCAAAUCAACGUUGUUACAAGAUAUUAAAUACAGUUGCCCGUGCUAUACGGACUGCCAGGAGUCACAGGGCAGGGGAAUCCAACAGUCCUGCCAAGCCCGGAUCGCCUCACCAUGGACGAUUACUGCGAGAUGAAUCACUCCAGCACUGACGCUGCGGAGCUGGCCGAAGGAUCCC